Chondromyces apiculatus DSM 436 is the source of this 171-nucleotide non-coding RNA. The record is from Rfam. NCBI's taxonomy places the organism in Bacteria, Pseudomonadati, Myxococcota, Polyangiales, Polyangiaceae.
CCGAGGGCGACCGAGGGUCUGGUGGAAGUCGUAGGUGCGUGGCCGUGUCGAGCGAGAGCGAAGCGCCGAAGAGGCGGCUGCACUUGGGUGAGCUGGCCCGCAGCAGUGAAGCCCGAAGUCCGCUGGAAGUGCAGGCGUAGAGGCGACGAGAGGGCCACGAAGUCCGUUGGU